Long non-coding RNA from Gavialis gangeticus (Gharial), 112 nucleotides. RefSeq lists it as uncharacterized. Lineage: Eukaryota; Metazoa; Chordata; Crocodylia; Gavialidae. The record is from RefSeq and is a predicted model, not a curated record. The transcript has 3 exons.
UGGGUAGCCUGUUUUGGUGCUUCACUACCCUCAUCAUGAGCAAGUUUUUCCUAAUAUCUGACCUAAACUUCCCUUACUGAAACUUGGGACCAUUGCUCCUUGUUCUGCCAUA